Molecule: long non-coding RNA, 603 nt
Filed under: Rattus norvegicus (Norway rat)
Lineage: Eukaryota; Metazoa; Chordata; Mammalia; Rodentia; Muridae
Description: long non-coding RNA NONRATT024462
Source: RNAcentral
UGGUCAUAGUAGGCCUGUCAUAUUUGCCAAAGAAGCAGUGUGGGGGAGGGAAGACUGGCAUCUGGCUGCUCUCUCUGCCGCUCCUAGGGUGAGGCAGAAGGGACCUUGGCUGAACACCAAUGUGAUUCGGUACAUCCAGCUGACGGAGAUGAAACUCAGCAGAUGUUCUCAAAGGGAGAAAGAAGCCAUGUAACAAAGCAGCCUCUCUCGAGCCACACUCACACCUGACCAGGGACUUCCAGGCACCCGGUGGUGGAGAGUCCCGACGUGGGUUCUCUCCUCUUCCCAGCUCUUCCUGUACUUCUGUUGCUCAUCCUGUUGCUGCCCCAACUCUUGUCUGUCAGAAGGUGAGAGGCGUUCUUGGACCUUGGUGAGCAGCCCAAACAUGGACUUAUCCUCUUCUCUACUACGCCAGCAAAUGGGACAGAUGGGCAAGAGUCUCGUGGACUGGGGGUGGUCCUAUGUCUUUGACUGGCUCUGAGCGUGGCGCCUGUGGAGCACAGUCUGGAUCCUUCUGCAGCUUCCCAGUGGAUCAGAGAAGCAUCUGAAGGGAAUCGGGGCUGAUGAACGCAAUAACCAUUGGUCAGACCAAUGCUGAGAUUG